UAGUCCUACGGGGGGCAGCAGUAGGGAAUUUUCGUCAAUGGGCGCAAGCCUGAACGAGCGAUGCCGCGUGAGUGAAGAAGGCCUUCGGGUCGUAAAGCUCUGUUGCGGGGGAAAAAAGGCAGCAUCAGGAAAUGGGUGCCGACUGAUGGUUCCCCGCCAGAAAGUCACGGCUAACUACGUGCCAGCAGCCGCGGUAAUACGUAGGGGGCAAGCGUUAUCCGGAUUUACUGGGU
RNAcentral lists this ribosomal RNA (233 nucleotides) under uncultured bacterium. RNAcentral's name for it is "partial 16S ribosomal RNA". It matches the Rfam family "Bacterial small subunit ribosomal RNA", at positions 334 to 559 of the family's 1533-position model. The record is from RNAcentral.